RNAcentral lists this ribosomal RNA (296 nucleotides) under Desulfobacteraceae bacterium 4484_190.3. Its description in RNAcentral is "partial 16S ribosomal RNA". It matches the Rfam family "Bacterial small subunit ribosomal RNA", at positions 1 to 275 of the family's 1533-position model. The record is from RNAcentral. Lineage: Bacteria; Pseudomonadati; Thermodesulfobacteriota; Desulfobacteria; Desulfobacterales; Desulfobacteraceae.
UUUAAUUGGAGAGUUUGAUCCUGGCUCAGAAUGAACGCUGGCGGCGUGCUUAACACAUGCAAGUCGUACGAGAACUCUUUAGCUUGCUAAAGAUAGUAAAGUGGCGCACGGGUGAGUAACGCGUGGGUAAUCUACCUCUGAAUCGGGGAUAACUCGCCGAAAGGCGAGCUAAUACCGGAUAAUAUCUAUUAAACUUAGGUUUUAAAGAUCAAAGGUGGUUUCUACAUGUAAGCUACUGUUUGGAGAUGAGCCCGCGUACCAUUAGCUUGUUGGUAAGGUAAUGGCUUACCAAGGCU